Molecule: ribosomal RNA, 461 nt
Filed under: uncultured bacterium
Lineage: Bacteria
Description: partial 16S ribosomal RNA
Rfam family: Bacterial small subunit ribosomal RNA
Source: RNAcentral
CCUACGGGUGAGCAGCAGUGAGGAAUAUUGGUCAAUGGGCGAGAGCCUGAACCAGCCAAGUCGCGUGAAGGAUGAAGGAUCUAUGGUUUGUAAACUUCUUUUAUAAGGGAAUAAAGUGUGGGACGUGUCCUGUUUUGUAUGUACCUUAUGAAUAAGGAUCGGCUAACUCCGUGCCAGCAGCCGCGGUAAUACGGAGGAUCCGAGCGUUAUCCGGAUUUAUUGGGUUUAAGGGGUGCGUAGGCGGCCUUUUAAGUCAGCGGUGAAAGUCUGUGGCUCAACCAUAGAAUUGCCGUUGAAACUGGUAGGCUUGAGUAUGUUUGAGGCAGGCGGAAUGCGUGGUGUAGCGGUGACAUGCUUAGACAUCACGCAGAACCCCGAUUGCGAAGGCAGCCUGCCAAGCCAUGACUGACGCUGAUGCAGGAAAGCGUGGGGAUCAAACAGGAUUAGAUACCCCAGUAGUC